CUCCCUCACCCCCACCUGCACCAGUGAAUGAUGGGGCAUCUACAUCCAAUGCUGCCCAGGGAGCGACUGCUCCGGUAACAAGGCCAAAGACAAAGAAAACCAGGCCAGCGAUGGAGGACUGGGAUGCCUGGGAUGAGUCAGCUGACGAGGCACUCAUAUGCCCUGUGCGCACAGUAGCCACCACCGACGGCGUGUCUGUGCUUUACCAACCAGCUAAAACUGAUAACACCCUCUAUGCUACUGCCUUGCUUGAAGAACACAUCAAAAUUGAAUUCUUGAUUGAUACUGGUGCUAAACUUACAGUCUUUUCAUCCUACCUAUUGGAGAAACACAAAAUACCUCUGUCAGGCAUCAUCAAGACAGCUGGUGGACCAACUGGAGAAAAAUUCAGUCUGAAGCAGACAGCCCCAGUCACCAUAGCCAUUGGAGAAGGAGAUGGAGAAGUCUUGUGGAACCUGAGAAGGCUAAAAAGAGAGGAUCUCCUGGAACAUCCUGCAUGGGCUAAGGGAAGGAAUGACUGUGGACUGUUGGAAAUGGAACCUGUCAGACUGACUGGAAAACCACCUCCGUGUGUGAAACAAUGUCCCAUCAAGAACGGACAGAUUGUGGCAGAAUUGUUGGAUGCAAUGCAGCUGCCAAAGGAACUGGCAGUGAUCAAAGUAAAGGCACAUACAAGGCAAUACACCAUUAAAGCAAGAGGCAAUGCAAUGGUGGAUGCAGUGUCAAGAACAGCCGCAAGAAAAAGAGAGGGAGGAGAUAACGAAACGACUAAUGAGAAUGGACACGGAAAUGGAAACACGGACGGAUCUAACGGUAACAGGAACAUUUUUGAAAAUGACAACGAGAAAUGCAUGAUGAGAGUGACAAAGAAGCCGAGAAGAAAAAUGGACUUGGAUUGAAAAUGCGGCGAAGCUCCAUGAUGACAACUUGUGGAGGUUUGGAACACGAACAGUGGCUC
Alosa sapidissima (American shad) is the source of this 958-nucleotide long non-coding RNA. RefSeq lists it as uncharacterized. The record is from RefSeq and is a predicted model, not a curated record. The transcript has 2 exons. Lineage: Eukaryota; Metazoa; Chordata; Actinopteri; Clupeiformes; Clupeidae.